This 484-nucleotide ribosomal RNA is filed under the name uncultured bacterium. Its description in RNAcentral is "partial 16S ribosomal RNA". It matches the Rfam family "Bacterial small subunit ribosomal RNA", at positions 30 to 507 of the family's 1533-position model. The record is from RNAcentral.
AUUGAACGCUGGCGGCAGGCCUAACACAUGCAAGUCGAGCGGAUGAAGGGAGCUUGCUCCUGGAUUCAGCGGCGGACGGGUGAGUAAUGCCUGGGAAUCUGCCUGGUAGUGGGGGAUAACGUCCGGAAACGGGCGCUAAUACCGCAUACGUCCUGAGGGAGAAAGUGGGGGAUCUUCGGACCUCACGCUAUCAGAUGAGCCUAGGUCGGAUUAGCUAGUUGGUGGGGUAAAGGCCUACCAAGGCGACGAUCCGUAACUGGUCUGAGAGGAUGAUCAGUCACACUGGAACUGAGACACGGUCCAGACUCCUAUGGGAGGCAGCAGUGGGGAAUAUUGGACAAUGGGCGAAAGCCUGAUCCAGCCAUGCCGCGUGUGUGAAGAAGGUCUUCGGAUUGUAAAGCACUUUAAGUUGGGAGGAAGGGCAGUAAGUUAAUACCUUGCUGUUUUGACGUUACCAACAGAAUAAGCACCGGCUAACUUCGUG